Molecule: long non-coding RNA, 260 nt
Organism: Perognathus longimembris pacificus (Pacific pocket mouse)
Lineage: Eukaryota; Metazoa; Chordata; Mammalia; Rodentia; Heteromyidae
Exons: 3
Source: RefSeq, a predicted model, not a curated record
UGCCUGUUUUUACCUCAGUAAAGUCUACCUCCCAAUAGGCUCCUGGCACCGUUCCUCUUUCCCUCCUUCCUUUGACAGCUACUCCACCAGCAGCAUUUGUCCUCUGGCAUGGCACACACCGGCUGGUAAUAUCCUCUAGCAUUUUGUCCAUUUCAGGUAUAUAGUAGAACCGGCGGAUUAAUUCCGCUAGCUUGCUCUUUCCUAGAUGGGUUCCCUGGUGUAUUUGCUUAAUGAGAGUCUGCUCCAACAUUUGGGAGAAG